UACGGGGGGGGCAAGCGUUGUUCGGAAUUACUGGGCGUAAAGGGCGCGUAGGCGGUUUGCUAAGUUGGAUGUGAAAACUCUGGGCUUAACCCAGAGCCUGCAUCCAAAACUAGCAGGCUAGAGUUCUGGAGGGGAUAGCGGAAUUCCUGGUGUAGCGGUGAAAUGCGCAGAUAUCAGGAGGAACACCGGUGGCGAAGGCGGAUCUCUGGGCCGAUACUGACGCUGAGGAGCGAAAGCGUGGGGAGCGAACAGG
This 253-nucleotide ribosomal RNA is filed under the name uncultured bacterium. RNAcentral's name for it is "partial 16S ribosomal RNA". It matches the Rfam family "Bacterial small subunit ribosomal RNA", at positions 524 to 776 of the family's 1533-position model. The record is from RNAcentral.